Molecule: long non-coding RNA, 429 nt
Organism: Hydra vulgaris (swiftwater hydra)
Lineage: Eukaryota; Metazoa; Cnidaria; Hydrozoa; Anthoathecata; Hydridae
Source: RefSeq, a predicted model, not a curated record
AAAAAAAUGCUAAUGCUAAAAAAAUAACACUUGUAAGAUUAUUUUUUACUUUUCCAUAAAUUUUAUUUACUUGUUAAUUAAGAUUUUAUUUUUAGGAGCGUCAACUACAUUAAGUAUCAGUUGAUAUAUGUUUUGGUCAAAUACAUGUUUGUAUUUGAAAUAGAAGUUGUUAAAUGUUGGUGGCUCAUCAUGCAGUGCAUUUGAGAAGGGCAUGCUUUUAAAGGUUAAGACUGCUCCCCUGAUUCCUACAGCAAAAAAAAAAAACUUUAAAAUGCUGGUGGUAAUAUUUAAGAGUGCACCUGAUCGAAAAGAAGGUGAAUGGCGUCAACUGUUCGAACAUUUGAUUCUUGGAAAUUAACAAGUGGAAGAAGAAGUUUAUAAAAUUGUAAUUUAAAAAAAACUCGGCACAAUUAUAUUAAUAAAAAAUUU